This 271-nucleotide ribosomal RNA is filed under the name uncultured prokaryote. RNAcentral's name for it is "partial 16S ribosomal RNA". It matches the Rfam family "Bacterial small subunit ribosomal RNA", at positions 524 to 794 of the family's 1533-position model. The record is from RNAcentral.
CACGUAGGGGGCGAGCGUUGUCCGGAAUUACUGGGCGUAAAGGGCGCGCAGGCUGUUAUGCGAGUCUGCUGUGAAAUGUACCGGCUCAACCGGUGCCUUGCGGCGGAUACUGCAUAGCUGGAGUACUGGAGAGGGAAGUGGAAUUCCCGGUGUAGCGGUGAAAUGCGUAGAUAUCGGGAGGAACUCCGGUGGCGAAGGCGACUUCCUGGCACAAGACUGACGCUCAUGUGCGAAAGCUAGGGUAGCGAACGGGAUUAGAUACCCCGGUAGU